RNAcentral lists this long non-coding RNA (210 nucleotides) under Lathyrus oleraceus (garden pea). RNAcentral's name for it is "Pisum sativum (pea) long non-coding RNA (PSAT_LNC023250)". The record is from RNAcentral. Lineage: Eukaryota; Viridiplantae; Streptophyta; Magnoliopsida; Fabales; Fabaceae.
UCAGACCGAUAUGGCGUUCAGGCCAAUUUUCCGAUUUUCAGAUCGAAGUGGUAUUCAGGCCAAUUUCCCGGUAUUCAGACCGAGGCGGUAUUCAGACCGAUAUGGCGUUCAGGCCAAUUUUCCGAUUUUCAGAUCGAAGUGGUAUUCAGGCCAAUUUUCCGGUAUUCAGACCGAGGCCGUAAGCAGACCGAUGAGGCGUUCAGGCCAGGU